GGAAGCCAUCCGGCUGGAUGAGGACCCUGUCUUGAAAACAGGUGGCUGCGAAAGCGGCUUGUGAGUUCGAGUCUCACGGCUUCCGC
Molecule: transfer RNA, 86 nt
Filed under: Mariniblastus fucicola
Lineage: Bacteria; Pseudomonadati; Planctomycetota; Planctomycetia; Pirellulales; Pirellulaceae
Description: tRNA-Ser
Rfam family: tRNA
About the family: Transfer RNA (tRNA) molecules are approximately 80 nucleotides in length. Their secondary structure includes four short double-helical elements and three loops (D, anti-codon, and T loops).
Source: RNAcentral